UGGGGAAUCUUGCGCAAUGGGCGAAAGCCUGACGCAGCAACGCCGCGUGGGGGAUGAAGGCUCUCGGGUCGUAAACCCCUUUCAGCAGGGACGAAACUGACGGUACCUGCAGAAGAAGCCCCGGCCAACUACGUGCCAGCAGCCGCGGUAACACGUAGGGGGCGAGCGUUGUCCGGAAUUAUUGGGCGUAAAGAGCUCGUAGGCGGCUCAGUAAGUCGGGCGUGAAAACUCAGGGCUCAACCCUGAGACGCCGCCCGAUACUGCUGUGGCUAGAGUCCGGUAGGGGAGCGUGGAAUUCCUGGUGUAGCGGUGAAAUGCGCAGAUAUCAGGAGGAACACCAGCGGCGAAGGCGGCGCUCUGGGCCGGUACUGACGCUGAGGAGCGAAAGCGUGGGGAGCGAACAGGAUUAGAUACCCCCGUAGUCC
This 425-nucleotide ribosomal RNA is filed under the name uncultured prokaryote. Its description in RNAcentral is "bacterial SSU rRNA". It matches the Rfam family "Bacterial small subunit ribosomal RNA", at positions 355 to 796 of the family's 1533-position model. The record is from RNAcentral.